This 381-nucleotide ribosomal RNA is filed under the name uncultured bacterium. RNAcentral describes it as "bacterial SSU rRNA". It matches the Rfam family "Bacterial small subunit ribosomal RNA", at positions 28 to 407 of the family's 1533-position model. The record is from RNAcentral.
GACGAACGCUGGCGGCGUGCUUAACACAUGCAAGUCGAGCGAGGCCCACCUUUCGGGGUGGUGUCCUAGCGGCGAACGGGUGAGUAACACGUGGGCAACCUGCCCUCAGCUCUGGGAUAACUCCAAGAAAUUGGGGCUAAUACCGGAUAUGACUGCUGACCGCAUGGUCUGGUGGUGGAAAGAUUUAUCGGCUGGGGGAUGGGCCCGCGGCCUAUCAGCUUGUUGGUGGGGUAGUGGCCUACCAAGGCGACGACGGGUAGCCGGCCUGAGAGGGUGACCGGCCACACUGGGACUGAGACACGGCCCAGACUCCUACGGGAGGCAGCAGUGGGGAAUAUUGCGCAAUGGGCGGAAGCCUGACGCAGCGACGCCGCGUGGGGA